This 434-nucleotide long non-coding RNA is filed under the name Homo sapiens (human). Its description in RNAcentral is "Novel transcript, antisense to AFF1". The record is from RNAcentral. Lineage: Eukaryota; Metazoa; Chordata; Mammalia; Primates; Hominidae.
UAUAAAACAGAUAUAUUGUUCCCAUUUCCCAAAUAAUGAAACGGAAGCGCCGAAAAUAUCUCCUAUAGGGCUCUUCAAACUGUGGUCAACUUAGUAAAUGAUGUUGACAGUGGAAGUGUGAUCAUUUUAUUUUCCUGCCUUUGGAAUUGAAGAUUGUAAUUUUGCAAAAAUUUUGUUGAAGAUGAUGUAGCUUUGGUUCAGAGAGUAAGUCAUUCCAUUUAUAUCAAUAUUCUUAAGGCAAUGUGCUAGGUGACGAGCCAUAUUGAUGACAAAGACAGAGCUCCUAUUUUCAUGACAUUCCAGUGUGGUGGCAGAAACAAGCAAGUAAAUAAUUCCAGUACACACUUCUGUUGAUUUAUUUCGUGAAUGGUGACUGGCUAUUUAAAAAGACUAAAUCAAAUUAAUUUUCUGAUAAUGAAUAAAAAAGGAUAGCC